AUUAAAACUCAAAGGAAUAGACGGGGACCCGCACAAGCGGUGGAGCAUGUGGUUUAAUUCGAAGAUACGCGAAGAACCUUACCCGGACUUGAUAUCUAACAAAUCAUCCAGAGAUGGAAGAGUGUCUGCUUGCAGAAAUGUUAAGACAGGUGCUGCACGGCUGUCGUCAGCUCGUGUCGUGAGAUGUUGGGUUAAGUCCCGCAACGAGCGCAACCCACGUAUUUAGUUGCUAACAGUUAGGCUGAGUUCUCUAAAUAGACUGCCUUCGUAAGGAGGAGGAAGGUGUGGACGACGUCAAGUCAUCAUGGCCCUUAUGUCCGGGGCGACACACGUGCUACAAUGACAUAUACAAUGAGAUGCAAUAUCGCAAGAUGGAGCAAAUCUAUAAAAUAUGUCCCAGUUCGGAUUGGAGUCUGCAACUCGACUCCAUGAAGCCGGAAUCGCUAGUAAUCGUAGAUCAGCCAUGCUACGGUGAAUACGUUCCCGGGUCUUGUACUCACCGCCCGUCACACCAUGGGAGUUGAUUUCACUCGAAGCGGGGAUGCAAAAUUUGCUACCCUCCACAGUGGAAUCAGCGACUGGGGUGAAGUCGUAACAAGGUAGCCGUA
This 608-nucleotide ribosomal RNA is filed under the name uncultured bacterium. RNAcentral's name for it is "bacterial SSU rRNA". It matches the Rfam family "Bacterial small subunit ribosomal RNA", at positions 893 to 1504 of the family's 1533-position model. The record is from RNAcentral.